RNAcentral lists this transfer RNA (85 nucleotides) under Hyphomicrobiales bacterium. Its description in RNAcentral is "tRNA-Met". The stretch from base 19 to 76 matches the Rfam family "tRNA", at positions 6 to 65 of the family's 71-position model. From Rfam's summary of the family: Transfer RNA (tRNA) molecules are approximately 80 nucleotides in length. Their secondary structure includes four short double-helical elements and three loops (D, anti-codon, and T loops). Further hydrogen bonds mediate the characteristic L-shaped molecular structure. tRNAs have two regions of fundamental functional importance: the anti-codon, which is responsible for specific mRNA codon recognition, and the 3' end, to which the tRNAs corresponding amino acid is attached (by aminoacyl-tRNA synthetases). tRNAs cope with the degeneracy of the genetic code in two manners: having more than one tRNA (with a specific anti-codon) for a particular amino acid; and 'wobble' base-pairing, i.e. permitting non-standard base-pairing at the 3rd anti-codon position. Lineage: Bacteria; Pseudomonadati; Pseudomonadota; Alphaproteobacteria; Hyphomicrobiales. The record is from RNAcentral.
UGAAGGUUGAUGCAAUUUGGUGAAGCAUAAGCCUGUCAGGCUCAUAACCUGAAGGUCGUAGGUUCAAAUCCUACCCCCGCAACCA